RNAcentral lists this ribosomal RNA (2147 nucleotides) under Triticum aestivum (bread wheat). Its description in RNAcentral is "partial small subunit ribosomal RNA". The record is from RNAcentral. Lineage: Eukaryota; Viridiplantae; Streptophyta; Magnoliopsida; Poales; Poaceae.
UUUUGUAAUAGGAAUAGGGAAAGGGGCAGAGUGGUACCUCCACCUCUUCUUCGUGCCCUCGUGUUGUAGCGCUGCGGACCCACCAGCUACACCUCCGCCAUCUAGCUUGAUCUCGGGCUGCUCUCCGGACGGGCACUUGACCUCGUCGCGGCGGCGGCAGAAAAGGAGGGUUAAAGAACCUCCCCUCGACCUCGCUACGGCGGCGGCCGCAACAGCUCGGCAGCUCCAUGGACGAGGAGAACACGCGGCACUAAAAGGAAGAGUAGGUACGACCGGCGCUCCCAAAGACGGGGCGGCGGUCCUUCGGCACGCGCCUCAGACGUAUGACUCCACAACGCCUGCGGUUUCUGCCUCCUUUUCCCGUUACCUCUGCAGCUAAACAGCAACCAAUCUCCAUUACCGUGUCAUCGCGGAGGUUUAGCUCCAUACCAUUAAGGUCAAAUCUUCAUACCAAAACCCCUAGUAGGACAACCAAACCCACGAAUCCAUAACCAACGACCGACGGCCCGGUAUAACGAAUACGACGUCAUUCCGAUCAACUCUUGACCGCACUACGGUUUAACGGUUACAAGACGAGUACUUGAAAACUUGACGACAUAUUUUUUGCUCUCUCCCCCUUUCUGUGUGAUAUAAACCACGAUUUAAAAAUUAGUGUGACUUGUAGUCCCAGUUGGUAAUCAUCUAAAAUCUGAUCCAAACACAGUUGUGCACCCAAAGGCUACCAAAUACCUUCCGUACUAGGUCACUAUAUGACUACCCAAUAGAGAUAUGUACGUCCGACUUCGAUCUAGGUACCUUCAUCAUCAACACCAUCUUGUUUAGUACAAGUCGAGAACAAAGACACACCUUUAGAAUGUUAUAUAAAAGGUAUAUAAAAACCGCUUGAAAUAACUACUUGUUUCGAUGCCAAAUCGUAGGUCUGAUGAAUGAUAUCAACGAUCUUUAGAAUGUUAUAUAAAAAGUAUAUAAAAACCGUUUGAAAUAACUACUUGUCUCGAUGCCAAAUCGUAGGUCUGAUGAAUGAUAUCAACGAGUAGACGAGAAGCAAGCUGAACUCGGACCAUCAAAGUAAUGUUGACGUUGAACAGACCAGUUGAACUACAUAAAAAGGAAAAAUUAUUCUGGGGUGUGAAAAAACACAACAUGAGGGAGGCAAGGAUUUAUAAACAGAAAGAUCUCUAAAGUUUACCAGUGGUGUAUGCCUACAUAUAUCUGUAUAAAAUCUCAUAUCUAAGUGAGUAAAACGAGACAUACAUCAGUGGUAAACUUUGGAGAUCUUUCUGUUGAUAAAUCCUUGCUUCCCUCAUGUAGUAUCGUUGGUACCGCCCCUAAUCGUUCUUAUUUUCUCGUCGUAGUACGUACUCGAGGAAUAGCUCCUAUCCCCGACAGAACAAAGGCCCCGCCGUUAACCUCUUGAUCUUCUCCUAGGUUUGGGACGAUCCUGGUACCCAGACUUUGUACCUGCCUGUUUCAAUCAUCGACGAGAACCAAGUGUAGCUCCUUUAGGUCCACCCCUUCAACGAGUUUCGUAUAUCAUAUCAACGAGUUCCAUAUUACAUAUCAAAGAGUUUCUAGUUGACUGUACAAGAAGAAAAAAUCUCAACGAGUUUUCUCUCUUAUCAUUUAUCUAUAAAAAGUGUUAUUACGAUUAAGACCAUCGGGUUUUACUUUAUGUAUUCGAAAUACGCGGUGUGGCAUGUAGGUCCUGUUUAAUCGUUAGGAGAGGAGUAGUAGGUACAAUUGAAAAGAACUUGUCUUAUUUACGAUGGAAAUUUAUAUUCAAUCCUAGGACGACGGAGGGCUUUCACCAGCUAAGGAGAAGGUCCAGCGGUAGAAAGUUUGAGAUCUUCGGACCAGGCUACCGGGCAGACUUUCGGGCUGUCAGGACGUAGUAGGAGGGACACUUUUAUCGUUGUGUUUUUUCCUCGGUGAUCACUAUCUCGUUAAAGCUUUGUCUUAUCUCGUUGACGUACAGUAUUCCGUAUUUCGUGGUGUUUUUAUUUUGUACCACACUAAACCCUUCUUGAUGGUACGUUGUUUUCGUUGUUAUUGUUUGUGUGUUUUUCUAUGGUCUUAACAGGAUGUAUCAAACCUAGGGAAAACAUUACGUGUUAUGUACUUUCUAAUGUAUCAACGGUUGUUAGUUG